GUUAGAUUCAUGAAUAAGUAUUAGAGUUGUAAUGUGGUUGAAAAAUCACUUGAUUCUAAUUCUAUUUUCUUUUGAAUAAAACUUGGAAGAGUUUAAUUUAGUUAUAUCCACAUAAUGUAAUGUCUCUCAAAAUGUGCAUCUUACCUCAAUCAUAGUCUCUUAAUAACUGUUAGAGGCAGUUUUGAAUCAAAAAUUAUUUUACACUAAAUCUGUUUUGCUGGUACUAAUUACUACCACCACAAAAUUUGCCAAUUACAUUUCCUUGCACAUUCUAUGCACUUUUCUUUAUUUUUCACUUAUUUAGAGUCUAUUUGGCUUGUUAUUGGA
This 327-nucleotide unclassified non-coding RNA is filed under the name Hevea brasiliensis (rubber tree). Lineage: Eukaryota; Viridiplantae; Streptophyta; Magnoliopsida; Malpighiales; Euphorbiaceae. The record is from RNAcentral.